ACGGAAAACACGCUCUCCUCUGAUAACUGCAGCCCCUAACGGGGCGGAGCCUCCGAAUGCGAAAGGCUAAAGCCAAAUCUUUUCUAGCGGCUCAAACUGCCCCGGGGGUAGCGAAUCUGCAGAGCCUGCUCGCCGGAAGUAGGGCCGCCCCUCGCCGGAAGUUGCGCUUCCUCCAUUUUGUUGCCCGCUAUGGCGGCGGUGUAGAGGUUGGGGCCGGGAUGCGGCGCGUCUGACUGAGGGGGUAGGCCAGGCGGAGACAUCGGGGACAUCGUCGCGGCGCAGAAGAGAACCAGCCUGGACGCCGGGGACGCUGUCAUGUACGGCGCGACCGGAGGCCGCGCCAAAACCGAGAGGAAAAGCGGCGCGAAGGAGGAGGCCGGGCCGGGCGGUGCCGGCGGCGGGGGGAACCGAGUGGAGCUGCUGGUCUUCGGCUAUGCCUGCAAGCUGUUCCGAGACGACGAGCGGGCCUUGGCCCAGGAGCAGGGACAGCACCUCAUCCCCUGGAUGGGGGACCACAAGAUCCUCAUCGACAGAUAUGAUGGGCGCGGUCACCUGCAUGACCUUUCUGAGUGCGAUGCUGAGUAUUCCACGUGGAACAGAGAUUACCAGCUCUCUGAAGAGGAGGCACGAAUAGAGGCCCUGUGUGAUGAAGAGAGGUAUUUAGCCUUGCAUACGGACUUGCUUGAGGAAGAGGCAAGGCAAGAGGAAGAAUACAAGCGGUUGAGUGAAGCGCUAGCGGAGGAUGGGAGCUAUAAUGCAGUGGGAUUCACUUACGGCAGUGAUUACUAUGACCCGUCCGAGCCAACAGAGGAAGAGGAGCCUUCUAAACAGAGAGAAAAACACGAGGCUGAAAAUUUGGAGGAAAACGAGGAGCCUUUCAUUGCCCCUUUAGGACUGAACGUGCCGUCUGAUGUGGAGCUGCCACCAACAGCCAAAAUGCAUGCCAUUAUUGAGCGCACAGCCAACUUCGUGUGCAAACAGGGUGCACAGUUUGAAAUAAUGCUGAAGGCCAAACAGGCCCGAAACUCUCAAUUCGACUUUCUACGCUUUGAUCACUACCUCAACCCCUACUACAAAUUCAUCCAGAAAGCUAUGAAAGAAGGACGGUAUACGGUCCUGGCAGAAAACAAAAGUGAAGAGAAAAAGAAGUCGGGGGUGAGCUCUGACAAUGAAGAUGACGAUGACGAAGAGGGCGGGAGUUACCUGCACCCGUCCCUCUUCGCUUCCAAGAAGUGCAGCCGCCUGGAGGAGCUCAUGAAGCCUUUGAAGGUGGUGGACCCAGAUCACCCCCUUGCGGCACUGGUCCGUAAAGCCCAGGCCGACAGUCCUGCCCCCACUGCACCCACGGCAGAUGGCACGGCCGUGCAGCCCUCCCAGGUGGAGUACACCACUGACUCAACAGUGGCAGCCGUGUACUACAGCUACUACAUGCUGCCCGACGGUACCUACUGCCUGGCGCCUCCCCCUCCCGGGGUUGACGCAGCCGCUUUCUACAGCACCCUGCCUGCUGGCGCGGCUGUGUCCGGCUCUGCUGGGGUGACCGCCACGGCCCCGCCCCCUCCGGGGACCACACCGCCGCCCCCCCCAAGCACAGCAGAGACGAGCAGUGGGGUGACCUCCACCACCAUCACCACAAGUGCACUUGCUUCCGUGGCCGCCAUCAUCCCCCCGCCCCCCGACAUUCAGCCCGUGAUUGACAAGCUGGCAGAGUACGUGGCCAGGAACGGCCUUAAGUUUGAGACCAGCGUUCGUGCCAAGAAUGAUCAAAGGUUUGAGUUCCUGCAGCCGUGGCACCAGUAUAAUGCCUACUAUGAGUUUAAGAAGCAGUUCUUCCUCCAGAAAGAAGGGGGCGAAAGCGCACAGGCUGUGUCAGCACCGGAAGAGGCUCCUGCAGAGUCUGCUCCUGAAAAGCCGAGUGACGCUGGGGAGGAUAGUGUGUCUGAAGACGUGGCCGACGCAGGGGGCAGAGGUGGCUCCUCGGGGAAGAAGGAGGCGGCGUGCAGCAAAGUCGUCCCCGACGGGAAGCUGGUGAAAGCUUCAUUUGCUCCAAUAAGCUUUGCAAUCAAGGCCAAAGAAAAUGAUCUACUUCCCCUGGAAAAAAAUCGUGUUAAGCUAGAUGAUGACAGUGAUGAUGAUGAAGAAAGCAAAGAAGGCCAAGAAUGUUCUAGUAGCGCUACAAACACUAACCCGGCAGUUGCCCCACCCUGUGUAGUUGUUGAGGAGAAGCGGCCUCAACUUACCCAGGAGGAGCUAGAAGCAAAGCAAGCAAAGCAAAAGUUGGAGGACCGACUGGCAGCGGCUGCCAGGGAGAAGCUUGCCCAGGCGUCUAAGGAAUCGAAGGAGAAGCAGCUUCAAGCAGAACGUAAAAGGAAAGCAGCUUUAUUUUUACAAACCUUAAAAAAUCCUCUGCCAGAAGCAGAAGUCGGGAAAGUGGAAGAAAAUCCUUUCAACGUAGAGGAAGCCGGUACUGUGUCCUGCCCUCUACUGGCCGGAGGCAGACCUCUGCCCACUUUAGACAUUAAGCCUCCGGAAGGGCGCUCAAGCAAAAACAAAGACCCGCCGAGAGAAGAAGAGAGAGAGAGGAAAAAGAAAAAGCACAAAAAACGGUCUCGAACAAGAUCACGCUCUCCCAAGUACCAUUCGUCAUCCAAGUCCAGGUCUAGAUCCCACUCGAAAGCAAAGCAUUGCCUUCCCAGUGCCUAUCGGACAGCACGGCGCUCGAGGUCCCGGUCCCGGUCCCCUCGGAGACGAGCGCACUCCCCCGAGAGACGGCGGGAGGACAGGAGUGUCCCCACCGCCUACCGAAUGAGUAACAGCCCUGGAGUCAGCAGGAAGCGGACCCGGUCCAGCAACACGCAGCCCGGGAGGAAGAGGGGAGCGGCAGAAACUGAGACGGGGGCUGAUGAAACCAGCGGUGACCUGUGCCUGCAGAGACUCCAGGAGACGGUCGCAGCAGGAGGGCGGCCUGCAGCUGUGGCGCCCGCGGGUUCUGGUGGUCUCAGGAGAAGCGGGGAGGGGCCUGCACCUCAGCGCUCCCACCACCUGCACAUUCCCUCUUGCCGGCUGUGCUUCAGGGCCGCGGGGAGGAGGGUCACAGGGCAGGGCGUGGAGCGGAGUGAGCCCCGCCUCUGGGCGGGAGGCGGUGGGCCCAGGCGAAGUGCAGUGCGGGCUGCGGGUCUGGAGGGGGAGGAGGAGCUGGGGGGCGUUUCUGACGUGGAAUCACGGGCCUUGGCGACUCGGAGGACGUGGGCCGUGGGCAGCGAGGCACGGCCGUGAGGGCCGGUGGGAGAGCAGGUGGCCCCGGGGGCCCGCCAGCCUCAGGCCGGAAGGACACGCGAGCGUCUGUGCUCGCAGCGCUCGGUGUUAAUGAUUUUCCACUUCUGGUUGGAAGUUCCCAUUAAGUCAGCGUAAAGGAACAAGCAGUACAAACAGCGCUUGGUUACUUAUCUUGGGUUAUUUUAAAUGCAGAUAAAGUGCUGAUCGUGUUUUAAACCCACAGACACCUGACUUCAGGACUUCUGCCGAGAAGAAGCCCCCAUGAGAAGAAGAAGAAGAGGCGCUCACGGUCGCGGACCAAGUCCAAGGCCGGCUCCCAGCCAGCCUCCCCGAGCAAGCAGGCCGCGCGCCGGCACUCAGCCAGCG
Balaenoptera musculus (blue whale) is the source of this 3642-nucleotide RNA transcript. It is a transcript of the gene named splicing factor SWAP, with no coding region annotated. The record is from RefSeq and is a predicted model, not a curated record. The transcript is spliced from 17 exons. NCBI's taxonomy places the organism in Eukaryota, Metazoa, Chordata, Mammalia, Artiodactyla, Balaenopteridae.